This 467-nucleotide ribosomal RNA is filed under the name uncultured bacterium. RNAcentral describes it as "partial 16S ribosomal RNA". It matches the Rfam family "Bacterial small subunit ribosomal RNA", at positions 28 to 507 of the family's 1533-position model. The record is from RNAcentral.
GACGAACGCUGGCGCGUGCUUAACACACGCAAGUCGAACGGAAAGGCCCUGCUUUUGUGGGGUGCUCGAGUGGCGAACGGGUGAGUAACACGUGAGUAACCUGCCCUUGACUUUGGGAUAACUUCAGGAAACUGGGGCUAAUACCGGAUAGGAGCUCCUGCUGCAUGGUGGGGGUUGGAAAGUUUCGGCGGUUGGGGAUGGACUCGCGGCUUAUCAGCUUGUUGGUGGGGUAGUGGCUUACCAAGGCUUUGACGGGUAGCCGGCCUGAGAGGGUGACCGGCCACAUUGGGACUGAGAUACGGCCCAGACUCCUACGGGAGGCAGCAGUGGGGAAUAUUGCACAAUGGGCGGAAGCCUGAUGCAGCAACGCCGCGUGCGGGAUGACGGCCUUCGGGUUGUAAACCGCUUUCGCCUGUGACGAAGCGUGAGUGACGGUAAUGGGUAAAGAAGCACCGGCUAACUACGUG